Molecule: ribosomal RNA, 301 nt
Filed under: uncultured bacterium
Lineage: Bacteria
Description: partial 16S ribosomal RNA
Rfam family: Bacterial small subunit ribosomal RNA
Source: RNAcentral
CAGUAGCCGCGGUAAUACGAACCGUGCGAACGUUAUUCGGAAUCACUGGGCUUAAAGCGCGUGUAGGCGGAUGGGGACGUCGGUAGCUGAAAGCCCCCGGCUCAACCGGGGAAGUGGCGCCGAAACGCCCCGUCUGGAGGGACGUAGGGGGACCUGGAACUUCCGGCGGAGCGGUGAAAUGCGUUGAGAUCGGAAGGAACGCCUGUGGCGAAAGCGAGGCCCUGGACCCUUUCUGACGCUGAGACGCGAAAGCCAGGGGAGCGAACGGGAUUAGAUACCCCCGUAGUCCCUGUCUCUUAUA